UCUCGAUUCGUCUAGUGGUUAGGAUACCUGCUUGUCAUCUCACUAAUUACGUGUUGAUCGAGCUCGCAGGUGGCCGGGGUUCAAUUCCCCGAUCGAGAG
This is a non-coding RNA of Hypoxylon sp. FL0543, 99 nucleotides long. NCBI's taxonomy places the organism in Eukaryota, Fungi, Ascomycota, Sordariomycetes, Xylariales, Hypoxylaceae. The record is from the annotation of a GenBank genome assembly.